GGAGAUGUAGUUCAGUCAGAAGAAUGCUUGCUUGGUAAGCAUAAAGUCCUAGGUUCAGUCCCUAGCAUAACAA
RNAcentral lists this transfer RNA (73 nucleotides) under Cricetulus griseus (Chinese hamster). It matches the Rfam family "tRNA". Rfam says of the family: Transfer RNA (tRNA) molecules are approximately 80 nucleotides in length. Lineage: Eukaryota; Metazoa; Chordata; Mammalia; Rodentia; Cricetidae. The record is from Rfam by way of RNAcentral.